AGUGAACGCUGGCGGUAGGCCUAACACAUGCAAGUCGAACGGCAGCACAGUAAGAGCUUGCUCUUACGGGUGGCGAGUGGCGGACGGGUGAGGAAUACAUCGGAAUCUACUUUUUCGUGGGGGAUAACGUAGGGAAACUUACGCUAAUACCGCAUACGACCUACGGGUGAAAGCAGGGGAUCUUCGGACCUUGCGCGAUUGAAUGAGCCGAUGUCGGAUUAGCUAGUUGGCGGGGUAAAGGCCCACCAAGGCGACGAUCCGUAGCUGGUCUGAGAGGAUGAUCAGCCACACUGGAACUGAGACACGGUCCAGACUCCUACGGGAGGCAGCAGUGGGGAAUAUUGGGCAAUGGGCGCAAGCCUGAUCCAGCCAUACCGCGUGGGUGAAGAAGGCCUUCGGGUUGUAAAGCCCUUUUGUUGGGGAAGAAAAGCAGUAGGUUAAUACCCCGCUGUUCUGACGGUACCCAAAGAAUAAGCACCGGCUAACUUCGUG
This 492-nucleotide ribosomal RNA is filed under the name uncultured bacterium. Its description in RNAcentral is "partial 16S ribosomal RNA". It matches the Rfam family "Bacterial small subunit ribosomal RNA", at positions 29 to 507 of the family's 1533-position model. The record is from RNAcentral.